This 58-nucleotide non-coding RNA is filed under the name unclassified sequences. RNAcentral's name for it is "msiK RNA". It matches the Rfam family "msiK RNA". The record is from RNAcentral.
CCACCUUUCUUCUUACAACGGAUCGUCCGGCACGUUCCUGCCGGUGAGAGGACUUGUC